Molecule: long non-coding RNA, 7198 nt
Filed under: Salvia miltiorrhiza (redroot sage)
Lineage: Eukaryota; Viridiplantae; Streptophyta; Magnoliopsida; Lamiales; Lamiaceae
Description: long non-coding RNA (SMIL_LNC004624)
Source: RNAcentral
GGUUCUGGGCAUAAGGAUGUUCCUCCCUUUUCACUCUUUCUCUCAAGUGUUUAGGCUCGUGUUUACACUCCGGACAUCUUGAUUGGGUUCUGACCAUAAGCUUGCCUAUCUUCUAAUGUCUUCCCCUUUAGUCAAAGUCCUAGGUGCAUCUCAUUAGGUCUUUCAUGGGUUGUAAUGUGGCUCAAGGCAUAAGGUGAGAAUUUUUUGGUACGAGGCUAAGGUCAUACUGAACUUCAUUCUGAGCAACAGACUUCCCAGAUUCUUUUGAUCCUUGCCUAUUCUUGCGGGCUUAAGCACAUUUUUCCUUUUAUUCUUCCUCUUUUUUUUUUUCUUUUCUCCUUCCCUUUUUUUCUUUUUUCUUUUUUUUUUUUCUGGACUUUUUCUGUUUUGGGAUUUAGAUGUCCCAUUUUGCAAUUUCUUUGCAAUAGUCCUGCCCAUCGGAUCCACUACACUAUCUCCCUUUCUUUUGCCCUUAAGUUCAGUUUUUGACCGGGACGGCUCAAAUCUAGGCAAAUUUAUAAGUGAAUUCAAAAGAAUUAUUAAGCUCAAAAGGGGUUGCAAGUGAUAGAUGUAGGGUUGGUCAGUUUGGCUCAGUGGGCUAAAGAAAGAAUUUGCCUAAAUCAUUCAACACACCUAGACUAUGUACACAGGGUUCGACCAAGAAUCAAGGCAAGUUCUAGCAUCACCCUUAAUCAAGAUGUCAAAAUUCACACAAUGAAAGAAAGAAUUGUUUUGGGCAUAAAGUAACAAUUUUAAAAGCUCAAAUCCUCACAAGGUAUGCCCAAUUCCCUAUCCAUCGUCCUCAACUACAUACGGCACAAAGUUUGCAUAAUCUCACUCACAAAAUUGCACUUUCAAAUCAUCACAACUGAGUAACCUCGAUUGUACAGCAUGCUUGACACCAAAACUUUAAAAACAUAAAAAGAUACCGGGUCUUCCCUCCCACUCACACACUUUGCCUUAAGGCAAAGGGUGCGAGAACAAGGAUUACCCGGUAAAGCAACAACAGACGUCUUGGCCCCCCCACACACACACACUUUGCUUUGGGCAAAGUGGGUGUGUAGAGGGGGUCAAGGAAAACACAAACUAAAAACAAACUAAACAAGCAAACAACAGAAAGACACAGACUAAAACAAACAAACAGAACAAAAAACACAAACACGCAACAAAACAAACUAAAAAAAAACUAACAUCCUAGGGAGGGUAAAAUUUAAGGUGCAGGUGCAAGUGGGUACCUGAACCCUUGAUGCUUGAAGAAGGCCAGGCCUUCUUGGUCGCUGCCAGUGCUUUCUGGGUCUCCACAAUCAGGGACUCGAUUCUGUCCAGCUGACUCUCCUCUUCCUCCUUUGACUCUGACUCCUCCACUUUUUCUUCCUUUCCCACAGCGGGCUUUGGCCUUCGGCCGCUGAAAAUUCCCUCUCAUCUGGAUUGAUAAAUUUGGGCACACCCCGAUCCAUUCUGACAUCCUUCAUGCGGAUCAGGGCUUCGAUGUUUAGCUUCUCCGUCUCAAUCUUGGUGUUGGUUCUCCCUUUAUCAUUCGGAUCGGGGUCGGGUUGAUCACUUUCUUCCUCUUUUUCGCCGGAUUUUCUUCUUGCUCUUCGCCGGACUCCCCUUCCUCGCUCUGCAUCACCGAACCAGAGGGUUCGUUUCUUUCGUUGGAUGAUUCUUCGGCCGGCGUGGCCGAUUUCUCGGCCGCCGGUUUCUUCCUCUUCGGAGCAGUGGGGGUGUGCUUCUUUUUGGAUGGCUCUCCCUCGCCUUCCUUCGCCUUUUUCGGUGUCGCCUUGCCUUCUCCUUCAGCUGCAUGCUGGUCUCUGGCGCCGAGAGUAGGGACGUCUAUCUCCACCGUGAGUUGCUCAAUGGCAUGUUCGUCCACCGGCGAGGGGCUCUCAGUUUGCGGUAGGGUUUUGGAUGAGGGGGUAGGUGUAGUGUCCAUCGGAAGUGGUUUUUGGCGUGGGUUCUUGUUCGAAGCUUUUGGUUUUGACGGUGGAGGGCUUUCUCCGGUAAGAUCGAUUUCGGUCCCUUGGGGUAUUCCUCGGAGUUUGUUUUUCAGUCUGGUGGAUACCAUGGUGGCUGGGUGAUUUUGUAUUCGAAAGGCCGAGAAAGGGGGUGGUGAUUAUGAGAAGUUGGAUAGUUAGGGUGGUGACGUCGUGGUAGGGGUUUUAGGGUUUUUGGGGGUGUAGGAGCUGACAACUGUCACUUGAUGUGACGUGCGUCAGGCGGUUUCAGCGCGUUUUGCCCGAGAGCCCCCUUCUGCCCUGGAAUCAAUGCUUCUCCAAUCGACGGCUCUCUGCCCAUAACUGCUCCCCUGUAUCUGCAAAACACAUUCAAACUUCCGCGAAGGCGGGAAACUCAAACUCGCCCACAGCUGUGGGCAUAACCGGGUUCCUAGGCAAACAAAAAAAAGAAAGGAAACAAAAACUAAAAGAAAAUAAACUAAACGAAAAUACCAGGUUACCUCCUGGCCAGUGCCCUAUUUAUCGUCCUGGGCAUGACGUGAUACCUUCCAAUUAAUCCAAGGUGCUUGUGGCUGGGUCGAGAUCCAGUUCCUCCCCAGCGUCGGGCUUAUGCCCAUAAUAGGCUUUCAGCCUUUGUCCAUUCACCUUGAACACUUUCCCAGAUUUUGGAUUUCCGAUCUCAACAGCUCCAUUUGGGAAUUGGGUCUUCACCACAAAUGGGCCGGUCCACUUGGUACUCAGCUUUCCUUGUGCAAAUUUGAACCGUGUCUGGUACAGGAGAACCUCUUGCCCAAAGCUGAAUUGCUUGUUUGUGAUCAAAGCAUCGUGGCUCUUUUUCAUUCUUUCCUUGUAGAGAACAGCAUUGUCGUAUGCCUCUCUCCUGAUUUCUUCGAGCUCUUGGAUCUCUAGCUUCCUUGCUUGCCCUGCCUUGUCCCAAUCAUAGUUCACUUUAUUCACUGCCCAGAAAGCCUUGUGCUCCAAUUCCACCGGUAAAUGACACCUCUUGCCAUACACCAUUCGAUAUGGUGACAUCCCGAAUGGAGUUUUGUAUGCAGUUCGAUAUGCCCAUAAGGCAUCUUCCAGCUUAAGACUCCAGUCCUUCCCUGUGGGGCCAACGGUCUUUCGCAAAAUCGUUUUGAUUAUGCGAUUUGAGAGUUCGGCCUGUCCAUUGGCUUGUGGGUGAUAGGCUGUCGAGACCCGAUGUUGGACUCCAUACUUUUUGAACAAGUUUUCGACCGAGAAAUUGCAGAAGUGGGAUCCUUGGUCGCUGAUGAUUGCUCUGGGCACACCAAACCUGCAGAAAAUGUUAGUCUUCAAGAAAUUCACCACUACCUUUGAGUCAUUCGUCGGGGAUGCUUUUGCCUCCACCCACUUGGAGACAUAAUCCACCAAAAGUAGGAUGUACAAGUUUCCUCUUGAGCUGGGAAGGGGUCCCAUGAAGUCCAUUCCCCAAAUGUCAAAAAUCUCUACGGGCAUAAUGGGCAUCAUGGGCAUUUCAUUCCUCCUGGUUAUGUUUCCUUCUCGCUGGCAUUGUGGGCAAUUCUUGCAGAUGGUGUAGCUGUCCUUAAAGAUUGUUGGCCAAUAAAAACCACACUCCAGAACCUUGGCUGCAGUCCUCUUAUGCCCAAAGUGUCCCCCACACUCCUUUGAAUGACAAAAUUCUAGGAUGCUUCUUUGCUCAUCUUGUGGGAUACAUCUCCGAAGCAUUUGGUCCCCGCAUUGCUUCCACAUAUACGGUUCGUCCCAAAUAUAUUCUCUGCUGUCUUUGGCCAAUUUCUUCUUCUGGGCAUAAGUGUAUCCAGGGGGUACAUAUCCAGAACAUAGGUAAUUGCUCAAAUCUGCGUACCAUGGAUCUUCCCUCCUUCCUUGGGCAUAGAAUAGUUGUUCAUCCGGGAACAUCUCCUUGAUUGGUUCCCCUUCUUCCUUCCUCACGAUCCUGCUUAGAUGAUCGGCCACUUGGUUUUGUGCUCCAGCCUUGUCCUUUAUUUCCACGUCGAAUUCCUGUAGAAGUAGAACCCAUCGGAUCAGCCUGGGCUUAGACUCCUUUUUGGCCAGAAGUGUAAUACCCCGUCUCCCCGAGCUAAGUUUAGAAUAAUUUUGAACUUAGAAGUAAGAUGAUUCAUGCCGGAUAAAAGAAAAUGAAUUUAUUUUAAAUUCCAACAAAAACGAUUUACAAAAGUAUUUGUAAAUUUAGUUAUUAAAUUAUAUGCAUUGCAUAUUAUAUUGUGUUCAAGUAUUUGAAAAUACGGUGAGCUUAUCAACUAGCAAAACCGAAAAGAAUCUCUUUUACAGAUAUACAAAGGAUUUAAUUACAUUCAUAUUACAAUUUUACUACAAGCCUACACUAUUGCAUAAAGUAUGAAAGCAAUACAUAUAUACUUAUUCAUACAUACACAUACACGCAUGUGUUAGUACAAAAGACAUCCCCAAAUCUUCAUACAUCCGCUGCCACCCUUAUCCUGCAGCUCCCUUUUUCCUUUCAAGAAAAGUCAAGUUCAUAGUACACUAGCUUGUCAACUCAGCGACCCUACACUCCACCUGCAGCCCCUCCUUGCUUGUCAUAGGAGAGGUAGCUGCCAAUAUCCCACUUUAAACCAAAUCAGCUAGCAAUUUCCUUCACCAUUGUACACUAACUCCACGAGGAGAACUUCACCCAUUUCUGCAAGCAUCCAAGGUAGUCCUUGCCUCAAUCUUCUCCAUUUCUCUACAAGUUUCUUCCUGCAUUCACCAAAGAGCAACGUGACUUCAUUUCAGUAAAUUCUCAUUCGCCAUCCUCACCACCGGAGGUAAAAGAAGCAGAGAAAAACCAACAAACACCUACAUCUAUUUCGUUCUGCAUAUGAUUUAAACACCUCUCAAAUCUUAUUUCAGCAAACCACACGAGUUUAUACACGUUGUUAAGCAGUAGAUUCAUGACAUAUCAUAUGAGCAUAACCAUCUCAUCAUUUCUGUAUAUCUAUGUAUAUUUUUUGAAUGGGAGCUAUACUACUCUGUUAUACAAGUUUGAAUGAUUUAAAGAAAGUAUUUUUAUGAGUUUACUUUCAACUUUGGGCUGCUGUGUCGAGAGGUGGAGGGAGGUCAGGACGGCGGCGGCAGUCUGCUCCAUCUACUGCUGUCGGUCGAAGUGAGCAGAGGGUAGAGGGAGAUGGGCGACUGCUUCGAUGGGUGUGCGUGUGAGUCUUGACCUUGGCUGUUGUCGGAGAAGGAGAGAACAAGGGUUGGGGCGGUGACUAGAUUAGGCUAGGUUUUCGCAGAGGGAGGCCAGGGCGCGGCGGCCCUGCCGCUGUCGCUCGGCCACGGACGGAGGGAGAGAAGAGAGGAGGCUAAGGGCGACUGGAUUGGGGUGGUUAGGGUUCAGGCGCAGCAACGGCAUGUCGCCACUGUAGUCGCCGGAAGAGAGAAGAAUAGAGGGACUAAGGUUCCGAUCAGUCGAGGGUGAUGGUGAGGAUGACCGGAGACGGCGCUCUUCGUCAGAGAUGGGCCGCGACGGCCGUGAGUUCGGGAGAGAGAGAGAGACGAACGGAUCUUGGGGGAGAAGGGGGCGGAUUUCUGGGUAAGAGAGGACGAACGGCUUCUUUGAAUGGGGUGGAAGGAUUGGGCCAUUUUUUUUCCAAAUGGGCUCAGUUUAUUUAAAAGGAUGUUGGGCCUUCAUUUAUUUAAAAUUAUGGGCUGCCUCCUAUUAAUUAAUUGAACUAUUAAUUGGUUUAAUUUAUUUAUUUAAAGAGUAAUUUGCAUAAUAAUAUUACCUUAUUAUUAUGUGCAUAUUUUAAGUAGUUACUUAUUAUAUGAUUAAAGUAUAACAUGAGUUGUGCAUUUGCAUCAUGAUUUAAUUGGUUUAUUUAUAAAUCCAAUUAUUUAAGAAAAUCGAGUAAGGAUAUUGUUGGUGUCCUUAACUCAAGGAUUUAGUUUUCAAUUAUUUAUUUACUAAAUUUUGGAAACCCGGCGUGAUGAAUCAAGUAUGUUUAGUACAUCCACUAAGACAUUAAGAUUAGUUUCAUGAGACCUAUAAGGAUAGAACUUCUUGUAGGCUUUGUGGACCAAGGGGAUUAGCACUGCUUUCCCAAGACGAGUUUAUGUGAUUAUGAUCUUCAGGCUUUGCCUAACCAGGUGGGCUUACUUUCCAAAUGUAUAAAGUAUGAUUGAGUUAUUAAGCUCUAAAUGUUUCAAUGUAAUGCAAACUGUUUAUUUAAUUAAAUGCAAACUGUUUAUCCAAUAAAAUAUUUUGUGCACUCUGCUCUGUUUAAGGCUCGCAAAGUUAAUCAAUUGAGGUUCUCUUAUGACCUAACACGUUGUCUGAGAAUCGUGUACACAUGCUAGUUGACCUGGUGGGUUGAUCUCCAUCGGGCACUGGCCAGAGGCGUUAUAAGGGUGCUCGACGGGAUGUGUUCCGGAGCAUGUAUCAUGUAAGGCCUGCCUGGGUAGCGUCCCGAGGUCAAUUCAACUUGUCUGAGUUACGUCCUCAGGGCAAGUGCAAUGGGAGAAAUGGAUCCGUCGGUGGCUAAAAGGUCCGGGAUCACAGCGAGUAACGGAAAGGGAGUGUGACAUGUGCGCACAAAUGAAAAAUGUUUUAACAUGCUUAGAAGUUCUUUCAAUUUAAAACCUUCUAAGUCAUGUCAAGUAUGAUUGGAUAAACUAUCUUUAUUAAAAUAUGAAAUGUUUAUGAAAAUGCAUGCCCACUAAGUACAUUAGUACUUAGCCCAAAAAUACUUUCAAAUGUUUUCAGGUUGGUUGGCUGGUGCUGACGGGACGGAGCUGAGGCUAGGGUUAAUUUCCUAUGUUAGACUUCCGCUGUAGUAAUUACUCAUAUCCGUCUUUUGUUUUCCCAACUUGAGAUCUUCAUGUUAAAUGUCAAAUGAUAUACCUGACCGAGCUUAGACUCUUCACUACUAAAUUUAUGCUAAUGAAUGUCGGUUGUCAGAAGCAUGAAACAAAACUUGUGAUCCAAAGGGGCAUAGCCCGACUUUCUAUCAUAUUUCGGUUUUAACAAGGUUUUUCCCUUGUUUAUUUCUAUGAAUUAUUCACACCUCGAUUAUAUUUAUUCCUUCAAGAAUUGGGGUGUGACAAGAAGGUACUUCAGGGCCGCAUGAUCGGUGUAGACUGUGGUCUUUCCUCCAAGCAGGUAAGACCUGAAUUUUUCAAAGGCGAACACCACUGCCAACAUCUCCUUCUCAGUCGUUGAAUAAUUGACUUGAGUUUCGUUCAGUGUCUUCGAGGCAUAAUAGAUGACGUGACUCUCCUUCCCC